RNAcentral lists this unclassified non-coding RNA (672 nucleotides) under Hevea brasiliensis (rubber tree). Lineage: Eukaryota; Viridiplantae; Streptophyta; Magnoliopsida; Malpighiales; Euphorbiaceae. The record is from RNAcentral.
CCCACAGGCAAUAUUUUGAUGUAAACUGUACGGCCAAAGUAAUCAAGUCCAAUGUGCCCCCUCUUAGAUUCAUAGUCCAAGCCAAGCAUUCUGCUGCAGCAGGAGAGGAAAUGCCGCGCAUAAUCAAAUGUAUGAAAACCAAUUAGAUCACAAUUCAGAAGUCCCCUCAGAAUUUCAUCACGAACUGGCAGAGUUCGGUAUAUUUCAGAUGAAGGAAAUGGACUGUGGAGGAAAAAUCCAAGCUUGAUUCUAUUGUAGCCUUUCCUCAGAAAGGUUGGCAGAAGCAUUAAGUGAUAGUCAUGAACCCAAACAUAAUCUUCCUCUGGACUGAUUAUUUCCAUGAUCUUGUCAGCAAACAUUUUGUUAGCUGAAACAUAUGCCUGCCAAAGAGUACGGUCAAAGCGAUCACCGUGGUCUGGGCACAUAGGCAGCAUGUAGUGGAAAAGAGGCCACAAUUGCUGUUUACAGAACCCAAGAUAAAACUUCUUCUGUAGGUCUAGAGGUAGAAACGUGGGAACACAGUUGAAAUCCUCAAGCAGUUUUUGGGAAACUUCUUCCUGCUCGCUAGCAUCUAUAUCAGCCUUAAGAGACCCCACAUAAAUAAAUUCAGUUUCUGGAGAAAACCCAUCUUUUAGUUGCAAAUAAAGCGAAUCUUCAUCCCAACUGAAGCAC